AAAUAAUAAUACAAGAGCAUUUGGUGGAUGCCUUGGCGCUAGAAGGCGAUGAAGGACGUGAUACACUGCGAUAAGCUUCGGGGAGUUGUGAAUAGACUUUGAUCCGAAGAUUUCCGAAUGGGAGAACCCACCUGUUUAUCAGGUAUUACAUAGCGAAUACAUAACUAUGUAAGGCAAACUCAGUGAACUGAAAUAUCUCAUUAGCUGAAGGAAAGGACAUCAACCGAGACUCCGUUAGUAGUGACGAGCGAACGCGGACUAGGCCUGUGGCUUUAAAGUAAUAACUAGAACAAUUUGAAAAAAUUGGCAAUAAUAGGUGAUAGCCCUGUAUAGGUAAAAAGCUUUAAAGUCCUUGAGUAGAGCGGGACACGUGAAAUCCUGUCUGAACGUAGGGGGACCACCCUCUAAGCCUAAGUACUCUCUAGCGACCGAUAGUGAACUAGUACCGUGAGGGAAAGGUGAAAAGUACCCCGACGAGGGGAGUGAAAUAGUACCUGAAACCAAAUGCUUACAAGCAGUCGGAGCGGAAACUUCGUGUUUCUGUGACGGCGUACCUUUUGUAUAAUGGGUCAGCGACUUAGUUUAUCGAGCAAGCUUAAGCCGUUAGGUGUAGGCGUAGCGAAAGCGAGUCUUAAUAGGGCGACCAUAGUUCGAUGAAUUAGACCCGAAACCGAGUGAUCUAGCCAUGGCCAGGCUGAAGGUGGAGUAAUAUCCGCUGGAGGGCCGAACCCACUAAUGUUGAAAAAUUACGGGAUGAGCUGUGGCUAGGGGUGAAAGGCCAAUCAAACUCGGAGAUAGCUGGUUCUCCGCGAAAUCUAUUUAGGUAGAGCGUUAUAUGUUUACCAUCGAAGGUAGAGCACUGGAUAAGCUAGGGGGUCCAACAGACUUACCAAACUUAACCAAACUCCGAAUGUCGAUGAGUAUAGUAUAGCAGACAGACUAUGGGUGCUAAGGUCCAUAGUCGAGAGG
Molecule: ribosomal RNA, 969 nt
Filed under: Rickettsiaceae bacterium
Lineage: Bacteria; Pseudomonadati; Pseudomonadota; Alphaproteobacteria; Rickettsiales; Rickettsiaceae
Description: partial 23S ribosomal RNA
Rfam family: Bacterial large subunit ribosomal RNA
Source: RNAcentral